ACUAACAUGCCGCUGACCUUUAGCCUGAGCAGUACCAGCGCACUUUAAACUCAAAGAAUUUGGCGGCACCCACACCUGUUAGAGGAGCCUGCCCCGUAAACGAUGGUCCACGAUACUCGGUACCACCCCUAAUAGUUUGUAUACCGCCGUGUAGGGUUUGCUCUCAAGCACGCCCGAAAUCAUGUACGUGAAAAUCUCAGGUCAAGGUGCAGCCAACGGGGUGGAGGAGGUGGGCUACAUCGGCAAGAGCCGCGGAUGCGUUACGUAAGUUUGCGCCGAAGACGGAUUUAACAGUAAGAGUUUGUAUUCAAGUCUGAAUAGGUACCA
RNAcentral lists this ribosomal RNA (327 nucleotides) under Crassabwa flava. Its description in RNAcentral is "partial 12S ribosomal RNA". The record is from RNAcentral. Lineage: Eukaryota; Metazoa; Arthropoda; Insecta; Ephemeroptera; Baetidae.